CACAAAGUGAUGACGGGGACAAGUAAACGUAUAUAAUUUCCUUCAGAAAGCCGGUGGGUGAUGCGAACCGGCGGAAGUGUAUGCGGCGAAUGGACCCCUGAGCUUCGGGAGGAACGGACGGCCCUGGGCCCCAAGUAUCCCCGGACGUUGAUCCGCGUUAAGGAUUUAAGGCUGAUAAUCGGUUCCGCAGCGUACGGGCGGACUUGUCGGCGAAUUAGGGUGGUACCACGGUCUCACGUCCCUUGC
This 246-nucleotide non-coding RNA is filed under the name Paenibacillus yonginensis. RNAcentral's name for it is "T-box sequence". It matches the Rfam family "T-box leader". From Rfam's summary of the family: Uncharged tRNA acts as the effector for transcription antitermination of genes in the T-box leader family. T-boxes are found upstream of many aminoacyl-tRNA synthetase genes and some amino acid biosynthetic genes usually in Gram-positive bacteria. Lineage: Bacteria; Bacillati; Bacillota; Bacilli; Caryophanales; Paenibacillaceae. The record is from RNAcentral.